CCGUGGAUUCGAUCCAUUUACCACUAUACACUAUUUUAGUGUAAAGGAUUUAGGGUUAUUUAUUUUGUUGGCAUCGACAACCACCAAAUUCUAAUCGCAAUAUGGUCGCCAAAGGUUCCAGAAAAACCUAGGGUAUUGGGCAAUUAAGCCCUUUAUAUAGACUUUUGAAAUCAGAGUCUACUCGUCGAGUCCAGUGACCGACUCGACGAGUAGCUCACUUAAAACCCGUGUAUGGCAAGGCAUCUGAUGUUCACGCAUAUUCGUAUCUUUUCGCCAAGUAGGUGUCCGACUUGCCGAGUCCUUCAGAUUUUUAGCUCUUUCUCUUCUUUCUUCAAUUCUCAAGCUUCCGGUUGUCAGUCCUGCUUCCUUUUGCUCCCGAGCAUGUCUUUUAGGCUGAAAAUACAAUUUAAGCAAAAAUUAAGUACCUUUUGUUCAAUAACUGCAAUAAAAUAGCCAAAAAGUAUUAAGAUUCUACAUAAAUUAUAUGAUCAAAUAUGCACAUAUCAAAAUACCACAAACUUAAGUUUUGCUUGCCCCCAAGCAAAACUGAAUUUUAAGCACACCUGCAUCACAUAAGAUAAUCUCACUCAAACCCAGCCAUUAUGCCAAGACCGCAACGCAUUUAUUGUGUCUUAAUUUUUUCCUAAGGACCUCCCCCCUAAUUCUAUAUACUUACAAUCCUAAUAAACACUUGUCCACUUCUUUUGAACAACGCUCAUUUUAUGUAUUUCUCCUAAUCCAUCCGCAAAAAACUCUUUUAACCUCAAUGUAUUUUUGGUCAAGCUACCCAAGCAUACAUAAUCUAGAAAGAAAUACAAUUUUUGAUACCACAAUGGAGCUCAUUGGAAUUCUUCAUUUCUUUGAUAAAUUGAUUUUUUUUUUUUAAUUCACCACCUUCUUUGUUUGAUUUUUGAUAUCUUCAACUUUUGAAUUUCUUCAGAAUUUUGAUCUUCAUUUUAUACUUUGAUUGGUCUAAAAUUCUUUAACUUUUUUUAAAUUUCUCUUUUUUUUUUCAACGUGUAUCUCACUUUUUGGUGAUUUCUUCAUGCUCCUCCCCAAGUCGGUUUUGAAUGAGAAAAAAAGUGAGAUACAUGUUGAAAAAAAAGAGAGAAAUUACCAAAAAGUUAAAGAAUUUUGGAGCAAUCAAAGUAUAAAAUAUGAAUAUCAAAAUUCUGAAGAAAUUCAAAAGUUGAAGAUAUCAAAAAUCAAACAAAGAAGGUGGUGAAUUCAAAGAAAUCAAUUUAUCAAAGAAGUGAAGAAUUCCAAAGAGCUUCAUUGUGGUAUCAAAAAUUGUAAUUUUUUCUAGAUUAUGUAUGCUUGGGUAGCUUGACCAAAAAUACCUUGAGGUUAAGAUAGUUUUCUGCGGAUGGAUUCAGAGGAAUGCAUAAAAUGAGCGUUGUUCAAAAGAAGUGGAUGAGUGUUUAUGAGGAUUGUAACUAUUUAGAAUUAGGGGGUGUCCUUAGGAAAAAAUUAAGACACAGAUGCAUGCGUUGCGGUCUUGGCAUAUUGGUUGGGUUCGAGUGAGAUUGUCUUAUGUGAUGCUGGUGUGCUUAAAAUUCAGUUUUGCUUAGGGGAAAGCAAAAGUCAAGUGUGGAGUAUUUUGAUAUGUGCAUAUUUGAUCAUAUAAUUUAUAUAGAAUCUUAAUGCUUUUUGGCUAUUUUAUUGCAAUUAUUGAACAGAAGGUACUUAAUUUUGCUUAAAUUGUAUUUUUCAGCCUAAAAGACAUGCUCGGGAGCAAAAGGAAGCAGGACUAGCAAUUGGAAGCUUGGGAAUUGAAGAAAGAACAGAAGGAGCUAAAAAUCUGAAGGACUCGGCGAGUCAGACACCUACUCGGCAAAUAGAUACGAAUAUUCGCGAACAUCAGAUGCCUUGCCGUACACGGGUUUUAAGUGAGGGACUCGUCAAGUCGGUCACUGGACUCGACGAGUAGCCCCUGUUUCAGAAGUCUAUAUAAAGGGCUUAAUUGCCCGAUACCCUAGCUUUUUCUGGUGCCUUUGGCGACCAUAUUGUGAUUAGAAGUGCUACUGAGGCUCUCGAACUCGAAUAUCAACCUUAGUUAUCAAUUUUGAGGAGAUUAAAAGGCAAAAACAUAUUCUCUUUUCUUAAUCUAGUGUUUACAACAUGUUUGAAUCAUUAGGUUUAGUUUGUGAGAUAUUUUCUACUAUGAAUAUGAGCUAAACACUUAUAGCUUCUGUUUAGGGUAGAUUAGCUUGUUAAUAUGGUAUGAUUUCUAUGGCAUGGAUUAUUUGAUUUGGUGAGAUUGUUUUUGCUAAGUUUGCUAAAGAUCAUUUUGUGUUAACAAUAACUAUUUUUUGUUAACUAUAAAGAUUAAGUUGCAUGAACAUCCUUUUAAUUGUUUGCCUCUGUGAAAACAAGAUUAUAUGCCUAGGAAUAGUGAACUUGAAACUAGGGUUAACUAGAAAAUAGAUAAGUUAAUGUGUGAGCUUGUAUGUUGAACAACCAUACAAGAUGUUAAUUAAAUUAGUAAUUUAAUUCUAACUACAAGUCUUACUUAACCUGAAUCAAUAUACUAGGAAACUCAUUAGUUUAACCAAUUGGCCACUGGUUGAAUUUAAAUUGUUUUCUAAGGAUUAGUAAUAGUGAACAUGAACCUAAUCACAUUAAUCGGUAGCCAAUGACAAAUUAAUUCAUUGCACUUGCCAUAAAAUCAACCAUAAGAAUAAGUGAGUCGAACCUGAAGUCCUGAACAGAAGGCUCCUUUAUUAUUGAAUUUAGUUGAUUUUUAUUUGCUUUAUUUGUUAAUAGCCUUUGUUUUAAUAUUAGUUAAUUGUUUAAGUUUAUAGGCUUGCAAAACUAGAGAAAACCCCUUUCUUUUAUUAUUUGUUUUUAGAUAAUUCUAGUAGUUAGUUUAAUUACCGUUCUCUGUGUUCAAUACCAUGCUUGCUUAAACUAUACCACUAAUUGACAGGUACACUGCCUUUUGUGUGUCGAAUUUAUGUUAAAAUAGUAGGACUAAAACUAGUGCACUUAACACACUUCAACAAACAAUUUGUAUGUAUUUUAUGUAUUUACUUCACGUAAAAUAUAUUUUUUUGUCUUUAAAAAAUACGUUUUCGUAAAGUAUAUUUUUUUUAUGCCUUUGAAAUAAUAAUAAUUAACACUACUUAUGACAUAAAAAAACUAUAAACAUUCUUUUGGGUCGCUAGUUCUAAAACCAUUUUUUCGGUUAUAUGUAUUAAAAACAACUUAACAACGAUUUUCUGAUGUAUCUAAACAAUUUAUACGGUUUUUUUAUGUUAAUAAUUGUUAUUUCAAAAAGAUAUAUCAUUAUUUCUUUCCAUCUUCAUUUUAACUAUAUGAUUUAGAACUUGCAAUUAAAAUGAAACACGUAUUUUAAAUAAGAUAUAUAACCGAAUAGGUUUUUUUUUUCUUUUCUUAAAUACAUAUUACCGAAUACGUAUUUAUAAAAAAAAACAUAAAAAAACAGUUUUCAGAAAACCGAUUGGACCAAAUCAAAAACAUAUUUAGCCGAUUUUGCCUUCCAAUACAACAUAAUAACAUAUUAUACCAAACCAAAAAAACCUAUUCGGUUAUAUAUCUUAUUUAAAAUACGUUUUCAGUUAUAUGUAUUUAAGAAAACAUAAAAAACCUAUUCAACUAUAUAUUUUAUUUACAAUAUGUAUUUCAUCUUAAUCAUAAGUUCUAAAUCGUAUAGUUAAAAAUGAAGAAGGAAAAAAUAUUGAUAUAUCUUUUUGAAAUAACAAUUAUUAACAAUAUUAUUGACAUAAAAAACGUAUAAAUUGUUUAGAUGCAUAACAAAAUCGUUGUUAAGUUGUUUUAAUACAUAUAACCGAAAAAACAGUUUUAGAACUAGCGACCCAAAAGAAUUUAUACAGUUUUUUUUAUGUCAUCAGCAGUGUUAAUUGUUAUUAUUUCAAAGACAUAAAAAAUAUAUUUUACGAAAACGUUUUUUUAUACGAAAACGUAUUUUUUAAAGAAAAAAAAGUAUAUUUUCAUAAAAUAAAUAUAUAAAAAUACAUGCAAAUUGUUUGUAAAAAAAGUAUUUUUUAUAAUACAACUAAAAUACAUUUUGUUUAUUUAAAAAAAAAUUAUGUAAACAAAUGUUUUUUGUAAUUUAUUGAUUGUUUAUGUUUAACGAUUUUGUUAUUAUAUAAAUUAGUUUUAGGAAACUAUAAACCAAGUGAGCAUGCAGCUCAACUGGUUAAAACUUUAGUAAUUUAAUAGGUUGGAGGUCACGAGUUCCAGGCCUCUCCCUAGCCAUUUAAUUGUCUUUUUCAAACAAAUUUCGAAAAUGAUCUCUGUGGUUUAGUAAAUGUCAUGGAUUCAGUCAUUUUAUACUUGAAAAGACGAAAAUGCCCUUAUAGAUACAGUCCUAACGGCAAAAUACUAACCGAGUUAGUAAAAAGGGCCAUCAAUUCAAGUUUUACAAAUCACAAGGACCAUUUGCAUCAAAAAAAAUUAGCAGGGACUGACUUUGUGAUUUUUGGCAAACCAUAGGGACCAUUUUUGUAAUUUUGUCUUAAUAUUAUCAUAUAUAUCUAUAAAUCUAAAAUAAAUUACAAUAAUAUUUUAACCUAAAAUAUCUUUAAUAUAAUUACAUUGAAACAUUAAAGAAAUUAUAUAAUAGUUUUUAAGUAAAUACACGAAUAUUUCAGGUAAUUAGAGUGUAUGGUCCUUUAACAUUUUUUUUAACUUGGACGAUCCCUAUGGUUUGGUUUUGUUUCGGGUUUGGUCCCCAACAAAGUUAAUAUGGCUAUCUUCCACUUGAUGAUAUUUUUCUAUAAUUUUUUAAUUCAUUUUUUUAUUAUUAUGUUAUUAUUAAAUAGAGUAAAUUAUUAAUGUGUAAAAUGAUACUUCACCAAACAUCGGAUGCUGCCCUUGAAACCACCUCCCCCACCACUGCAUACUUCUUGUAAAAGAUUGAAGGAUCCAGCCUCACCAUUUUCCCCUCUGUUAUAGACAAAGAACAACAAUAUCAUCCAUUCCUGAUGAAAAUCAAAAUCUCUUUCCUUAUUAUAGAAUACCAAAUUCACUCUAUUAGAUAUAUAAUCUCAAAUUCUCAACUUCCAUAAACAGUUCAAAAUAGAACCGAAAGAAGAAAUGCACAUAAACCAUCACUGUGGAAGCUCACAGGAAGCACAAGUUUAGGGACACUAGAAAGCGUAUCAGGUAAUUAAUGAUCUUACACUUACACAUGUGCAAACUUUGACAACAUGCAAUGCCUACUGAAAAAGGUUUAUUUACUAAUGCGGAAAAAAAAAUCUACAAUAAUUAUGGUAUCAUGUACCAGUAGAUAUCAACACAAAACCUAAUCUGAUAAUAUUGGGAGCAAUUACACACAUACAUUAUACAUAUAUAAUAUGUGGCCUAGUAAAACUAUACACACAUAAAUAAAUAAAAAUUCAUUUGUAGGAACUGCUUUCAUAGCAUAUGAAGAAAAACCAGUUCCAAACAUAGCAACAAUACGAAAACAUGAUUUUUUUCCAAUUUUCUCACAGUGAACAAAAGCAAGAGAAGAUUGAGGUUUUUCAUGAGAACGGGUCAACAUAGGACUAUAGUCUAUAGGUGAUUAGUUGAUACAAUAAAACAACACAACCACUACCAAAGGGUCUACUGAGAAGCAGAGGUUUAAUUGAGUUUGAAGCAUUUCCUCCCUUAAACAGAUAAUUACAGAUUACGUGGUGACAUUGUAUCUACCAUUAGGAACUGCAAGUGUCUUGCAAAACAGAGGCUAUCACCAUCUGCUUAUAUGCCUCAUUACCUUCUCUGUGUUACAGGUCCCAAUUUGUGCGACAAUUAGGUCAGACAGAAUCAUAAAAGCGUAGAUGGAUCAUUUUCCCAGUAUACAUCAAUGCAAUUGGAUUAUAUUACACAUAAAAACAUAUAUGCAUCGUUUUCGACAGCCCUAAAUUACUAUCUUCUUUGUAUUACAGGUCCCAAUUUGUGUGUUUUGUAGCAUUUUCUGAAUAUUCUUAAAAAACAGAUGCAGCAAAGUUCAUAAAAUAUAGAGAAUUAGGUCAAAGAAAAAAGAAAAUCAGAAAACAUACCAUGUGGACGCCAAUCACGCCAUAUGAGUUUAAGCUUCGCCUUUCCCCCGUACUCGUCUAUUUCCCGGUGACGAUAGUUUUGAGAGGAACGGAAAUUUGGGGGAAUUUUUGUUACUUGUAUCGUU
RNAcentral lists this long non-coding RNA (6154 nucleotides) under Lactuca sativa (garden lettuce). RNAcentral's name for it is "long non-coding RNA (LSAT_LNC008715)". The record is from RNAcentral. Lineage: Eukaryota; Viridiplantae; Streptophyta; Magnoliopsida; Asterales; Asteraceae.